GGCCGUGUAGCUAAGUAGUAAAGCAAGGGACUGCAAAUCCCUUAUACGCCGGUGCGAUUCCGGCCACGGCCUCAA
Molecule: transfer RNA, 75 nt
Filed under: Candidatus Staskawiczbacteria bacterium
Lineage: Bacteria; Candidatus Staskawicziibacteriota
Description: tRNA-Cys
Rfam family: tRNA
About the family: Transfer RNA (tRNA) molecules are approximately 80 nucleotides in length. Their secondary structure includes four short double-helical elements and three loops (D, anti-codon, and T loops). Further hydrogen bonds mediate the characteristic L-shaped molecular structure. tRNAs have two regions of fundamental functional importance: the anti-codon, which is responsible for specific mRNA codon recognition, and the 3' end, to which the tRNAs corresponding amino acid is attached (by aminoacyl-tRNA synthetases). tRNAs cope with the degeneracy of the genetic code in two manners: having more than one tRNA (with a specific anti-codon) for a particular amino acid; and 'wobble' base-pairing, i.e. permitting non-standard base-pairing at the 3rd anti-codon position.
Source: RNAcentral